AGCAUUACCAGAACCUUUGCAUCGGGGAAAACAGAAAAGGUGAUCUUUCAAGCACUCAAGGAAUUAGGUCUUCCCAGUGGAAAGAAUGAUGAAAUUGAGCCUGCAGCAUUUACUUAUGAAAAGUUCUAUGAACUGACACAAAAGAUUUGUCCCCGAACGGACAUAGAAGAUCUUUUUAAAAAAAUCAAUGGAGACAAAACUGAUUAUUUAACGGUAGACCAAUUAGUGAGCUUUCUAAAUGAA
Galeopterus variegatus (Sunda flying lemur) is the source of this 243-nucleotide long non-coding RNA. RefSeq lists it as uncharacterized. The transcript is spliced from 3 exons. Lineage: Eukaryota; Metazoa; Chordata; Mammalia; Dermoptera; Cynocephalidae. The record is from RefSeq and is a predicted model, not a curated record.